This is a small nucleolar RNA of Cyprinus carpio carpio, 181 nucleotides long. The record is from Ensembl. NCBI's taxonomy places the organism in Eukaryota, Metazoa, Chordata, Actinopteri, Cypriniformes, Cyprinidae.
GGUGGACGGUGUGCGUAGUGUCUGUCUACGUCUAGAGCCGUCUCCAGUCUGUGUCUUACAGGCUGGGAGACGGUUCUCACAUCACACUCACAGCCACAGAGCCAAUGGAGAUCAUAGUACUGGCCCAGUGACGUCUAAACGACCAUCCACCACUGGCCAGCCUCCAUAGUCUCCUACAAGA